RNAcentral lists this ribosomal RNA (467 nucleotides) under uncultured bacterium. Its description in RNAcentral is "partial 16S ribosomal RNA". It matches the Rfam family "Bacterial small subunit ribosomal RNA", at positions 28 to 507 of the family's 1533-position model. The record is from RNAcentral.
GACGAACGCUGGCGGCGUGCUUAACACAUGCAAGUCGAACGGAAAGGCCCUGCUUUUGUGGGGUGCUCGAGUGGCGAACGGGUGAGUAACACGUGAGUAACCUGCCCUUGACUUUGGGAUAACUUCAGGAAACUGGGGCUAAUACCGGAUAGGAGCUCCUGCUGCAUGGUGGGGGUUGGAAAGUUUCGGCGGUUGGGGCUGGACUCGCGGCUUAUCAGCUUGUUGGUGGGGUAGUGGCUUACCAAGGCUUCGACGGGUAGCCGGCCUGAGAGGGUGACCGGCCACAUUGGGACUGGGGUACGGCCCAGACGGCUACGGGAGGCAGCGGUGGGAAUAUUACACAAUGGGCGGAAGCCAGAUGCAGAAACGCCGCGUGCGGGAUGACGGCCUUCGGGUUAUAAACAGCUUUCGCCUGUGACGAAGCGUGAGUGACGGUAAUGGGUAAAGAAGCACCGGCUAACUACGUG